GGGUCGCUAGCUCAACGGGCUAGAGCAUUCGGCUUUGUAGCAUGCCGGCUUUCCGCUCUGUGCGGUCAUGGGCACGCUUCCUUCUCUUUCGGGACCGAAGGGUUCGGGGUUCGAGUCCCCGGCGACCCA
This 129-nucleotide transfer RNA is filed under the name Actinoplanes flavus. Its description in RNAcentral is "Actinoplanes sp. NEAU-H7 tRNA-OTHER". It matches the Rfam family "tRNA". Rfam says of the family: Transfer RNA (tRNA) molecules are approximately 80 nucleotides in length. The record is from RNAcentral. Lineage: Bacteria; Bacillati; Actinomycetota; Actinomycetes; Micromonosporales; Micromonosporaceae.